ACGGGGUUAUUCUUUACACCGAGUGUUUCACCAAUCACGCUGGGAAAGCCAGCGGCAAGCGCGACGGCAAAAGCCGGAGGCGGGAGAAAAACCGGCCUCGCGCUUCACGCUUUUAAAAAGCGACUAACACCACAGAGUGGUGGCGGGAGCUUUGACAAAACCGGAUGGGUGAAGGAUUGGGUGUAAAGAAUAAUCUAGUGGCGGACGGGUGAGUAACACGUGAGCAACCUGCCGAGGUCUGGGGGAUAACGUCUGGAAACGGACGCUAAUACCGCAUAACAUUAUCGAGUGGCAUCGCUUGAUAAUCAAAGGAGCAAUCCGGACUUUGAUGGGCUCGCGCCCGAUUAGGUAGUUGGUGAGGUAACGGCCCACCAAGCCUGCGAUCGGUAGCCGGACUGAGAGGUCGAACGGCCACAUUGGGACUGAGACACGGCCCAGACUCCUACGGGAGGCAGCAGUGGGGAAUAUUGCACAAUGGGGGAAACCCUGAUGCAGCGACGCCGCGUGAGUGAAGACGGUCUUCGGAUUGUAAAGCUCUGUUGCAGAGGACGAAGUAUGACGGUACUCUGUGAGGAAGCCACGGCUAACUACGUGCCAGCAGCCGCGGUAAUACGUAGGUGGCAAGCGUUGUCCGGAAUUACUGGGUGUAAAGGGAGCGUAGGCGG
This 665-nucleotide ribosomal RNA is filed under the name uncultured bacterium. Its description in RNAcentral is "bacterial SSU rRNA". The stretch from base 112 to 665 matches the Rfam family "Bacterial small subunit ribosomal RNA", at positions 1 to 578 of the family's 1533-position model. The record is from RNAcentral.